CCCCUAGACGUUCUGGGCUGCACGAGCGCUACAAUAAUACGCACAGCGAGUAUCACCGAGCUCGAAAGGGCAAGGUAAACAAUAGAAAAGGUACUGUAAUGGUUAUAGAUCCUUGUAAUUAUUGAUCUUCAACGAGGAAUUCCUAGUAAGUAUGUGUCAUCAUCACGCACUGAUUACGUCCCUGCCCUUUGUACACACCGCCCGUCGCUCCUACCGAUUGGGUGAGCCGAUGAAACUCUCGGAUGUAGGCUAUUCAUAGCCCGCAGAAGAGAUUUGAAUCGUAGCGCUUAGAGGAAGGAGAAGUCGUAACA
This 311-nucleotide ribosomal RNA is filed under the name uncultured eukaryote. RNAcentral describes it as "partial 18S ribosomal RNA". It matches the Rfam family "Eukaryotic small subunit ribosomal RNA", at positions 1470 to 1796 of the family's 1831-position model. The record is from RNAcentral.